CAUUCACACCCAAGCCCAAACCCUAGCCGCCAGAACCCUCACCGGAGAAGACGACCCAGCCACCGGAGGAACCGAUUGCCGCCACCCACCACCGUACCGGAGGACUUUUUGAUCACCAAACGAGGUAAAAUGUCUCUUCUUGCCUCAUUUUUCGAUGCCGAACCUCCCUGUGGCCAAAUCGGAGCUAAACCACUAGCCGAUUGGCCGAAAAAUACCACCGAAGUCCAGCGGCGCCGCUGCGGGUUUCCUCAGUUUUUGCCUCCGAUGAGGCCCUUCCUGUUUUCUGUUCGAUGUAAUUUUUAUACUACUGUGACCACCGUCCUUUUCUCUACAGGUUGACCGAAGCAAAACACCGAAUCCCAACUCGCGCUGGAGG
Molecule: long non-coding RNA, 376 nt
Filed under: Carica papaya (papaya)
Lineage: Eukaryota; Viridiplantae; Streptophyta; Magnoliopsida; Brassicales; Caricaceae
Description: long non-coding RNA (CPAP_LNC002733)
Source: RNAcentral